RNAcentral lists this ribosomal RNA (253 nucleotides) under uncultured bacterium. RNAcentral describes it as "partial 16S ribosomal RNA". It matches the Rfam family "Bacterial small subunit ribosomal RNA", at positions 524 to 776 of the family's 1533-position model. The record is from RNAcentral.
UACGUAGGGUGCAAGCGUUGUCCGGAAUUAUUGGGCGUAAAGAGCGUGUAGGCGGCCCGAUUAGUCCGCUGUGAAGGUCCAGGGCUCAACCCUGGAAUGCCGGUGGAUACUGUCGGGCUAGAGUCCGGAAGGGGCGAGUGGAAUUCCUGGUGUAGCGGUGAAAUGCGCAGAUAUCAGGAGGAACACCAGUGGCGAAGGCGGUUGCCUGGGGCUUUGCUGACGCUGAGGCGCGAAAGCGUGGGGAGCGAUCCGG